AUUGACCCUUCGGGUGAUUUGUUGGGCGUCGAGCGGCGGACGGGUGAGUAAUGCCUGGGAAAUUGCCCUGAUGUGGGGGAUAACCAUUGGAAACGAUGGCUAAUACCGCAUAACGUCUACGGACCAAAGAGGGGGACCUUCGGGCCUCUCGCUUCAGGAUAUGCCCAGGUGGGAUUAGCUAGUUGGUGAGGUAAUGGCUCACCAAGGCGACGAUCCCUAGCUGGUCUGAGAGGAUGAUCAGCCACACUGGAACUGAGACACGGUCCAGACUCCUACGGGAGGCAGCAGUGGGGAAUAUUGCACAAUGGGCGCAAGCCUGAUGCAGCCAUGCCGCGUGUAUGAAGAAGGCCUUCGGGUUGUAAAGUACUUUCAGUCGUGAGGAAGGCGUUGAAGUUAAUAGCUUCAUCGUUUGACGUUAGCGACAGAAGAAGCACCGGCUAACUCCGUGCCAGCAGCCGCGGUAAUACGGAGGGUGCGAGCGUUAAUCGGAAUUACUGGGCGUAAAGCGCAUGCAGGUGGUUUGUUAAGUCAGAUGUGAAAGCCCGGGGCUCAACCUCGGAACCGCAUUUGAAACUGGCAGGCUAGAGUACUGUAGAGGGGGGUAGAAUUUCAGGUGUAGCGGUGAAAUGCGUAGAGAUCUGAAGGAAUACCAGUGGCGAAGGCGGCCCCCUGGACAGAUACUGACACUCAGAUGCGAAAGCGUGGGGGAGCAAACAGGAUUAGAUACCCUGGUAGUCCACGCCGUAAACGAUGUCUACUUGGAGGUUGUGGCCUUGAGCCGUGGCUUUCGGAGCUAACGCGUUAAGUAGACCGCCUGGGGAGUACGGUCGCAAGAUUAAAACUCAAAUGAAUUGACGGGGGCCCGCACAAGCGGUGGAGCAUGUGGUUUAAUUCGAUGCAACGCGAAGAACCUUACCUACUCUUGACAUCCAGAGAACUCGCUAGAGAUAGCUUGGUGCCUUCGGGAACUCUGAGACAGGUGCUGCAUGGCUGUCGUCAGCUCGUGUUGUGAAAUGUUGGGUUAAGUCCCGCAACGAGCGCAACCCUUAUCCUUGUUUGCCAGCACGUAAUGGUGGGAACUCCAGGGAGACUGCCGGUGAUAAACCGGAGGAAGGUGGGGACGACGUCAAGUCAUCAUGGCCCUUACGAGUAGGGCUACACACGUGCUACAAUGGCGCAUACAGAGGGCGGCCAACCAGCGAUGGUGAGCGAAUCCCAAAAAGUGCGUCGUAGUCCGGAUUGGAGUCUGCAACUCGACUCCAUGAAGUCGGAAUCGCUAGUAAUCGUGAAUCAGAAUGUCACGGUGAAUACGUUCCCGGGCCUUGUACACACCGCCC
Molecule: ribosomal RNA, 1337 nt
Filed under: Vibrio comitans
Lineage: Bacteria; Pseudomonadati; Pseudomonadota; Gammaproteobacteria; Vibrionales; Vibrionaceae
Description: bacterial SSU rRNA
Rfam family: Bacterial small subunit ribosomal RNA
Source: RNAcentral